UUUAAUCAUCUUCAAAGUAAUUCUAUCUAGAGCUGCUUAUUUGUUAUUGGUUUGUGGAUAUAAAUUUGAUAGUAGUCUAAAUUGUGAAUUAUAUAUAUGAAAGUUGGUCAACUCUCUCCAUAAAAUGACAUGUGUCAUUCGAUUUUUUUUAAACUAAAAAUU
This 162-nucleotide small RNA is filed under the name Arabidopsis thaliana (thale cress). RNAcentral describes it as "ATSL111110". Lineage: Eukaryota; Viridiplantae; Streptophyta; Magnoliopsida; Brassicales; Brassicaceae. The record is from RNAcentral.